Triticum dicoccoides is the source of this 1027-nucleotide long non-coding RNA. RefSeq lists it as uncharacterized. The transcript has 4 exons. The record is from RefSeq and is a predicted model, not a curated record. NCBI's taxonomy places the organism in Eukaryota, Viridiplantae, Streptophyta, Magnoliopsida, Poales, Poaceae.
UGCGUUGGUGGUGCCUCCAGGGCAGGGAACAUGAAUUCCAUGAAGUGGUCUUGGAGGCGGAAAGGGAAGAAGUCGGAAACGGGAUCCAAGGGGCAGAGGAGAGUGAGGUUCUCGAACACUGUGGAGACGAUAUGCCCAUCGAAAUCCUGAGUGAAGACAGUUCUAGUGAUGAUGGAAUGCAGCAAGCGAAGAUGAUCACGAGCCUGCACAUCUACCUGGUAGCAACGUAGAUGGUUUGGAUACAUUAGUUGCAAAUGACAUCGUGGCGGCGAGGUCAAAGGAGGGUGGAAGAACCACCGUCAGCCAUGUCAGGAGUGCAGCACGCGGUGGAGUUGACGCUGCUCCGCACGGACAUGGGACUCACAAAGGCCCUGGGACCAGCCGAUAUCGGGAGUAGCCCAUGUGGGAGAAUUGAGCGUCGCGAGAGCGAACCUGGAUACACAUUUCAGUGGUUCAUCAGGACCAACAACGCCAGGACAAGCAGGUGGUUAGUGCCGGCGAGGAGCACCAAUGUGCAUCUGCUGAAUCUGUGGCUGAGCAGGUAGAUCUGCCGAUGUGGGGCUUGGUGCUCGAUCUCGGUGCCGGCAGGGAAAUGCUGCUCCCGGCGAGAUCACUGGUGGAGAGACGAAGCUGGAUGCACUGAUAGAGGCUGCUGCAAUCCGUGCCGGUGGGAGAGGCCAUGGCGACUCAGCUCCGGCAGCACUUGUAGAACCGGACUCCAGCCCGGGAGGGCCGGGACGACGAAGGUGACGACCUAGCCACCACAAUCAGGACAAGGAAUGAGCAGGAGUAUCUCCCUAGGGCGCGAGGAAGAAGAUGAGGAGGUCAUGACCGGCGAUCUGGUUUCUUGCGGCGCGUUGGUUGAAGAGAACGAGGAGAGGAGAAGAGCAGGAAGGAUCUUGAGGAGGGGGUGGUUGGUGAGUUGCAGUAAAUCAAGGGGCUGGUGUGGACGGCGGCCGUUAGUGGGAUGGGGGCUGAGCCGUGGCCCUUGGUUGCAGGCCCGUCUGAGCCGGUUACUCUGAGAUGA